CUUUUGAUGGGAGCAUUGAGUCCAUUGAUGAUUUGAGUGAGUACUGAAAGAUAUGAAUCUAUUAUUAUGAUGCUUGUAGAGUUGGAGUUUCUGGUGGUGAUAUCUGGUCCUUUCUAAUCUUUGUUGCUUUUCUUAUUUAUUUAUUUAUUUAUUUAUUUAUUUAUUUAUUUAUAUUUUCAUCUUUUCUCCCCUCAGAGAGUCCCCCUUAACAUUUCUUUCAGGGCUGGUUUAGUGGUCACAAACUCCUUUAAUUUUUGUUUGUCUGGGAAACUUUUUAUCUCUCCUUCCAUUCUGAAUGACAGCUUGCUGGAUAAAGAAUUCCUGGCUGCAUAUUUUUUUGAUUCAGCAUACUGAAUAUAUCUUGCCUCUUCUUUCUGGCCUGCCAAAUUUCUGUGGAUAGGUCUGCUGCAAACCUGAUCUGUCUUUCCUUGUAGGUUAGGGACUUUUCUUCCUUGCUGCUUUUAUGAUUCUCUCCUUGCCUAAACAUUUUGUGAAUUUGACUAUGAUGUGCCUUGUUGAUGGUCGGUUUUUGUUGAAUCUAAUGGGAGUCCUCUGUGCUUCCUGGAUUUUGAUGUCUGUGUCUUUCCCCAGGUUGGGAACGUUUUCCACUAUGAUUUGCUCACAUAACCCUUCUACCCCUAUUUCUCUCUCUUCCUCUUCUCGGACCCCUAUAUUUGAUGUUGUUCCUUUUUAAUGAGUCACUGAUUUCUCUAAUUCUUAAAUCAUGCUCUUUUGCCUUAAUCUCCUUCUCUUUUUCUGCUUCAUUAUUCUCUAUAAGUUUGUCCUCUAUAUUGCUGAUUCUCUGUUCUGCCUCAUCCAUCUUUGCUGCUGCUACAUCCAUCUGUGAUUACAGCUCAGUUAUAACAUUUUUAAUUUCAUUCUGGCUAUUUUUUGCAUCUUUUAUCUCUGCAGAAAAGGAUUCUAAAGUAUUUUCAACUCCAGCUAGUAUUCUUAUUAUCGUGAUUCUAAAUUCUGGUUCAGACAUCUUGCUUGUAUCUGUGAUGGUUCAAUCUCUGGCUGUAGUUUCUUAGUGCUCUUUCUUUUGGGGUGAAUUCCUUUGUUUUGUCAUUUUGAAGGGAGAAAAGGAAUUAAUGAGGUAGAAAAAUUAAAAUUAAAAAAUUAAAAUUAAAAAGUAUUAAAAUUAUACAAUUAAACACACACACACCCACACACAAAUAGAAUAAAUGAUGCCAGAUCCUAGGUAUGUUUUGUUCUGGGUGUUGAAAGUGGUUUCACAGAUUAGAAGAAAAAAAGGGGGGGAAGAAAAAAAAAAGGAAAUUGUUUGAGAAUUUGAAAAAAUGAAUACACUGAAUUAGAGUAAAAUGAGAUGAUCGAGGUAAAAUAGAAUUUGAAAAAAUAUAUACAGAAGUAAAGAAUAUGGUAGAAAAAAAAUGAAGAAAAAUAUUUUUAUCAAAAAUUAAAAAUGAAUUUUUCUUUUUAUAUAUUCAAGAAAAAGAAAAGAAACGAAAAAGAGAAAAAAGGAGAAAAAAGAAAAAAAAGGAAAUCGUUUGAAAAUUUGAAAAAGUGAAUACACUGUAGUAGACUAAAAUAAAAUGGUGGAAGUCAAAUAGAAUUUGAAAAAAAUUUACAUAAAAGAAAAAAUAUAGUAAAAAAAUUAAAGAAAAAUAUUUUUAAUAGAUAUUGAAGGUAAAAAUGAAGUUUUUCUCUUUUUGCAUUCAAGAAAAAAGAAAUGAAAAAGAGGAAAAAAGAAAAGAAAGAAAAACGCGAUUGAAAAUUUGAAAAGAAAAAGAAGUGUAAAAGAGAAAAAAAAGAAAGAAAAUUGAAUGAUGGACCUGCUAACAGAUUGAAUUAGGACUGAAAUUACUUCGUUUUCCUCUAUAAGUCAGUCUAUGUGGUGCUUUAUAGUCCAUAAACUAAGCCGGCAGUGAGACUUGUGUUCUUGAAGAAUGAGGUUGGUCCAGUUGGGCGGGGCUCAGUGUAAUGGCUCCGCUUUCCACUAGAUGGCGCUGCUAGCCUACUUUGGUGGAGCGUUGUGGCACUGGUAGGUGCGUAUGUGCAUGCGCGGGAGUGGUAAAAAUGGUGUCACCCAGCUAUCCAGUCUGUUUUCCAGGAUCAGCAAUCGCACACCCAUCCUCUGUCUUCAGCUUUCGUCCACUCCCUGCUUUUUCACUGUCUGUGACCAGGCCCCAGGCAGUACCUCUCUCCCGAGAUUGGCUGAGAUGCGGCUGCUUUCCCCAGCCUCUUCUGAAGGACUGAGGCUUUGACCGGUUCUGCCCCUCUGCGGGAAUGUCUCAGUGAGCAAUGGCUGAAUGUCAUCUGCACCCUGGAACGCUUGUGGGACCCUGCUGCUGCGGGUGCCCCGAGACUGCGGCCAGGUGCCAGCCCGCCCCAGAAAAAGUUCACGAGAUAGUGUAGCAGCAGCUUUUCAGGGAUUAUGGAAAAUCACAACAUGCAUCUGGCAGGCUUCACUCUUAACGACCUUGUUUAAGCACCAGCGAAUGUGACCACCCUCUGGGGUCUGGUGGGACCAGGUGGCUUCAACAGUCUCUACCAAAUGUCCUUCCAGCAGUGGAACCGCUUUUCUCCGCUUUUCACUCUGAUCCUGGGGAUUCGCCCUUCCCACCAGAGCACUACCAGGUAUGGAGCUGUGGAGUUGCAGACUGCGCUCCCUUUGUUUACAGUCUCAAUAGAAUUUAAACCCUCUCCUUUCUCCUUUCUCCCUUUUUAGUUUAGUCUCUGCAGCUGUUUCCAAUUUUCCACUUUCUCUCCAGCUCCUCUUGGGGAGGGGUGCUUUUCGCGUAUUCUCCACCCCACCCCAGUCUGUCUCCUCUCUCCACUCACAAAAGCACCUUCCUUCCUGCGCCUCUUGCUCCCCAAGUUCACUUCUUCGCGCCGGGUACGUGCUGAAUUCUGUGGUUCAGUUUGUGCAGAUUGUUGUGUUAAUCCUCCAGUUUUUUAGGUGUGUAGGAUGGUUUAGUGUUGGUCUGGCUGUAUUUCAUGGACACGAGACACACAAAAAUCUUCCAUGCUGUUCUGCCAUCUUGGCUCCUCCCCAUAAUUUUCAUUU
This is a long non-coding RNA of Acinonyx jubatus (cheetah), 3028 nucleotides long. RefSeq lists it as uncharacterized. The record is from RefSeq and is a predicted model, not a curated record. Lineage: Eukaryota; Metazoa; Chordata; Mammalia; Carnivora; Felidae. The transcript has 2 exons.